RNAcentral lists this ribosomal RNA (774 nucleotides) under uncultured Neocallimastigales. Its description in RNAcentral is "partial large subunit ribosomal RNA". It matches the Rfam family "Eukaryotic large subunit ribosomal RNA", at positions 23 to 617 of the family's 3401-position model. Lineage: Eukaryota; Fungi; Neocallimastigomycota; Neocallimastigomycetes; Neocallimastigales. The record is from RNAcentral.
ACACGCAUGACACACUGCAUAUCAAUAAGCGGAGGAAAAGAAACUAACUAGGAUUCCCUCAGUAACGGCGAGUGAAGCGGAAAGAGCUCAAAUUUGAAAUCUUCAAGGUUCUACCUUGACGAAUUGUAGUUUAAAGAAGUGUUUUCUGUUGGAGUUUUGGUAAAAGUUCUUUGGAAUAGGACAUCAUAGAGGGUGAGAAUCCCGUAUUUGACCAUUAUUUCCAGCUGUGUGAUACACUUUCAAAGAGUCGGAUUGUUUGGGAAUGCAGUCCAAAAUGGGUGGUAAAUUUCAUCUAAAGCUAAAUAUUGGCGAGAGACCGAUAGCGAACAAGUACCGUGAGGGAAAGAUGAAAAGAACUUUGAAAAGAGAGUUAAACAGUACGUGAAAUUGUCAAAAGGGAAGCGUUUGACACCAGUGUUGUUUUCUCGAAAAUCAAUUAAAAACGAUGGGAUUUUGUGUUGUAUUGACUUUAUCAGCUUUCUGCACUUUUUUCUUAUCUUUUUUAAUGCACUUUUCGUUUAACAAGUCAACAUCAAUUUCUUUUGUUGUAAAAGAGUCAUUGGAAGGUGGCUUUUUCUUCGGAAAAAGUGUUUAUAGCCUUUGAUCUCUGCAACCGGAGAGACUGAGGUCUGCAGCGUAGACUCUUCGGGGUUAGAUACACUUGUGCUAAGCUAUAGCCUUUUCAUAGACAACUUGUUGACUAUGCUCAGUCAUGUAGCUUACUCGCUUAUGCUAUUUUACCUACGCUUAGGAUGUUGAGCGCAUGUCUCUCUC